This 200-nucleotide ribosomal RNA is filed under the name Chilostomella sp. AtlMed. Its description in RNAcentral is "5.8S ribosomal RNA". It matches the Rfam family "5.8S ribosomal RNA". From Rfam's summary of the family: 5.8S ribosomal RNA (5.8S rRNA) is a component of the large subunit of the eukaryotic ribosome. It is transcribed by RNA polymerase I as part of the 45S precursor that also contains 18S and 28S rRNA. Functionally, it is thought that 5.8S rRNA may be involved in ribosome translocation. Lineage: Eukaryota; Foraminifera; Rotaliida; Chilostomellidae. The record is from RNAcentral.
ACUGCAUGAGCGAUGGAUMUCUUGGUUCCUUGCAUCGUUGAAGGUCGCAGCGAAUUGCGAAAUGUUGGUCGUGUGAAUUGCAAGACACAUUGGCCCUUUUCGGGCUGCGGAACACCUUACUCACUGAACGUUUAUAUCGCUUAGCAGAUUAAUCUUCGUGUUCGCACGUAGACUGCAGCGCGCUCGGUUGAGAGUGCUUU